This 325-nucleotide long non-coding RNA is filed under the name Elaeis guineensis (African oil palm). RNAcentral describes it as "long non-coding RNA (EGUI_LNC033888)". The record is from RNAcentral. Lineage: Eukaryota; Viridiplantae; Streptophyta; Magnoliopsida; Arecales; Arecaceae.
AGUGGACCAACUAUCGCCAACGUCCACUACAAGGGCUCCUUGAGACCCAUGUUGAUGUGUUAGUCAAACUCCAGCAGCCUCAUUGCGAGUAGUAGUGUCAUCUCAGAUCAAAAGAUCAGUCAUACAACUAUAGCAUCGAGAAAGUCACUAACGAGUGAGCAGACAUCCAUAUGACGUCUCGUGUUGGUUACGCUCAGUUCUAGUUGUUCUCCAACAACCACUUGCACUCUCACUCUAGUAUCUCUACACUACAAACUCGAGAUCCAUCUGUCCGAAAGAAGCGAUCCGUGCACUGAUCUAUCCGGAUCAAUCACUAUCCCCAUGA